This 381-nucleotide unclassified non-coding RNA is filed under the name uncultured Myxococcales bacterium. RNAcentral's name for it is "contains 16S-23S intergenic spacer region". Lineage: Bacteria; Pseudomonadati; Myxococcota; Myxococcia; Myxococcales. The record is from RNAcentral.
UCCGGCUUGACGCCGGCAGUCCCCCGAGAGUCCUCAGCUUUACCUGUUAGUAACACGGGGCAAGGGUUGCGCUCGUUGCGGGACUUAACCCAGCAUCUCACGACACGAGCUGACGACAGCCAUGCAGCACCUGUCUCUUGGUUCCCUUGCGGGCACCGCCUCAUCUCUGAAGCAUUCCAAGGAUGUCAAGACCAGGUAAGGUUCAGCGCGUUGCGUCGAAUUAAACCACAUGCUCCACCGCUUGUGCGGGCCCCCGUCAAUUCCUUUGAGUUUUAGCCUUGCGGCCGUACUUCCCAGGCGGAGAACUUAAUGCGUUAGCUACGGCACCGCAGGGGUCAACACCCGCGACACCUAGUUCUCAUCGUUUACGGCGUGGACUAC